AAGGAGUUGGAGCAGAGAGCAGUUUGGAGGAGUUGAAGUAGAGGAGAGUUUGGAGAAGUGCCAUGGCGGGCUAGAAAACCAAGACCCUAGACUCUGGGGCCCAAUUCACUGGUGUCCCCACUGCUUCUUUGUGCUAGCUAUGCUGUUGGCCACUAUUAAUUGGUGCAGCUUAUAGCAGUCUUCAGAUUGUUUUGAUCUACACCAAGAGACCGGCCCAGUACUGAAACAGAUUCCCCAGAAAAAUUAUACUUUGUGAUGAGAUGCUGCCUGUGACAUUUCAGAACAAUGCUGCAUUUCUUCUCCAGGUGCUGCUCACCUUUCUUUUCAACUGCUCAUCCUCAGCUGCUGCUCCUUUUAUUUCUGCUACUGGCGAAGGGCAAGUGUCUGGAGAUGUCUCUUUGUACUACAGUGCCUUGUGCUGCCUGAUACGCUGCAGGCCUAUUUUUCACUUUCAAUACUGGCAGAAGAAGAUGUGACAGUCAUGGAUUACACACGACAUUAAUCUAGGAACUAGAGCUUGAACAGUGGAGUAAAAGUCAACAAAAAUGAAAGUGAGAGUGAAUAAAAAAAGUUACCUGAAACGAAAAAUAGGCUGAGCAAGCCAAUUUCUGACCAUACUCUGUAAUUGUUGUUCCCUCAUCCUUCCCCCCACCCACAACCAUCUGUUUGUUCCAUCCAUCUGGUACAUCUUCUCAUAAGCAUGACUAAACUCUGGGAGCAUCUGUCCUCCAUGUCUGUAUAAUAUCUUGCAUAACGGGCCUUGAUCUCUAAUUGAGGACUCUAGAAUGGCUGCCAGAGUUUAUCUAUCGUUUGAAACUCUAACCAACCUUCUUCUGAAGUUCAGAAAAGCUCAGAUAAUGUCUGCUCUAGCAGUUCAAAUAGUUCACAUAAGUCUUGAAACUCUAGAUAC
Chelonia mydas (Green sea turtle) is the source of this 910-nucleotide long non-coding RNA. RefSeq lists it as uncharacterized. The transcript has 4 exons. The record is from RefSeq and is a predicted model, not a curated record. Lineage: Eukaryota; Metazoa; Chordata; Testudines; Cheloniidae.